Molecule: ribosomal RNA, 253 nt
Filed under: uncultured bacterium
Lineage: Bacteria
Description: partial 16S ribosomal RNA
Rfam family: Bacterial small subunit ribosomal RNA
Source: RNAcentral
UACGUAGGGUGCGAGCGUUGUUCGGAAUCAUUGGGCGUAAAGGGCGCGUAGGUGGACUUGAAAGUCGAUUGUGAAAUCCCUGGGCUCAACCCGGGAACUGCAGUCGAAACUCCAAGUCUUGAGUGCUUGAGAGGGUAGUGGAAUUCCUGGUGUAGAAGUGAAAUUCGUAGAUAUCAGGAGGAACAUCAGAGGCGAAGGCGGCUGCCUGGCAAGACACUGACACUGAGGCGCGAAAGCGUGGGGAGCAAACAGG